RNAcentral lists this ribosomal RNA (800 nucleotides) under Pseudarthrobacter oxydans. Its description in RNAcentral is "bacterial SSU rRNA". It matches the Rfam family "Bacterial small subunit ribosomal RNA", at positions 81 to 891 of the family's 1533-position model. Lineage: Bacteria; Bacillati; Actinomycetota; Actinomycetes; Micrococcales; Micrococcaceae. The record is from RNAcentral.
UGCUCCGGGGAUUAGUGGCGAACGGGUGAGUAACACGUGAGUAACCUGCCCUUAACUCUGGGAUAAGCCUGGGAAACUGGGUCUAAUACCGGAUAUGACUCCUCAUCGCAUGGUGGGGGGUGGAAAGCUUUAUUGUGGUUUUGGAUGGACUCGCGGCCUAUCAGCUUGUUGGUGAGGUAAUGGCUUACCAAGGCGACGACGGGUAGCCGGCCUGAGAGGGUGACCGGCCACACUGGGACUGAGACACGGCCCAGACUCCUACGGGAGGCAGCAGUGGGGAAUAUUGCACAAUGGGCGCAAGCCUGAUGCAGCGACGCCGCGUGAGGGAUGACGGCCUUCGGGUUGUAAACCUCUUUCAGUAGGGAAGAAGCGAAAGUGACGGUACCUGCAGAAGAAGCGCCGGCUAACUACGUGCCAGCAGCCGCGGUAAUACGUAGGGCGCAAGCGUUAUCCGGAAUUAUUGGGCGUAAAGAGCUCGUAGGCGGUUUGUCGCGUCUGCCGUGAAAGUCCGGGGCUCAACUCCGGAUCUGCGGUGGGUACGGGCAGACUAGAGUGAUGUAGGGGAGACUGGAAUUCCUGGUGUAGCGGUGAAAUGCGCAGAUAUCAGGAGGAACACCGAUGGCGAAGGCAGGUCUCUGGGCAUUAACUGACGCUGAGGAGCGAAAGCAUGGGGAGCGAACAGGAUUAGAUACCCUGGUAGUCCAUGCCGUAAACGUUGGGCACUAGGUGUGGGGGACAUUCCACGUUUUCCGCGCCGUAGCUAACGCAUUAAGUGCCCCGCCUGGGGAGUACGGCCGCAA